UUAAGCGACUAAGCGUACACGGUGGAUGCCCUGGCAGUCAGAGGCGAUGAAGGACGUGCUAAUCUGCGAUAAGCGUCGGUAAGGUGAUAUGAACCGUUAUAACCGGCGAUUUCCGAAUGGGGAAACCCAGUGUGUUUCGACACACUAUCAUUAACUGAAUCCAUAGGUUAAUGAGGCGAACCGGGGGAACUGAAACAUCUAAGUACCCGAGGAAAAGAAAUCAACCGAGAUUCCCCCAGUAGCGGCGAGCGAACGGGGAGCAGCCCAGAGCCUGAAUCAGUGUGUGUGUUAGUGGAAGCGUCUGGAAAGGCGCGCGAUACAGGGUGACAGCCCCGUACACAAAAAUGCACAUGCUGUGAGCUCGAUGAGUAGGGCGGGACACGUGGUAUCCUGUCUGAAUAUGGGGGGACCAUCCUCCAAGGCUAAAUACUCCUGACUGACCGAUAGUGAACCAGUACCGUGAGGGAAAGGCGAAAAGAACCCCGGCGAGGGGAGUGAAAAAGAACCUGAAACCGUGUACGUACAAGCAGUGGGAGCACGCUUAGGCGUGUGACUGCGUACCUUUUGUAUAAUGGGUCAGCGACUUAUAUUCUGUAGCAAGGUUAACCGAAUAGGGGAGCCGAAGGGAAACCGAGUCUUAACUGGGCGUUAAGUUGCAGGGUAUAGACCCGAAACCCGGUGAUCUAGCCAUGGGCAGGUUGAAGGUUGGGUAACACUAACUGGAGGACCGAACCGACUAAUGUUGAAAAAUUAGCGGAUGACUUGUGGCUGGGGGUGAAAGGCCAAUCAAACCGGGAGAUAGCUGGUUCUCCCCGAAAGCUAUUUAGGUAGCGCCUCGUGAAUUCAUCUCCGGGGGUAGAGCACUGUUUCGGCAAGGGGGUCAUCCCGACUUACCAACCCGAUGCAAACUGCGAAUACCGGAGAAUGUUAUCACGGGAGACACACGGCGGGUGCUAACGUCCGUCGUGAAGAGGGAAACAACCCAGACCGCCAGCUAAGGUCCCAAAGUCAUGGUUAAGUGGGAAACGAUGUGGGAAGGCCCAGACAGCCAGGAUGUUGGCUUAGAAGCAGCCAUCAUUUAAAGAAAGCGUAAUAGCUCACUGGUCGAGUCGGCCUGCGCGGAAGAUGUAACGGGGCUAAACCAUGCACCGAAGCUGCGGCAGCGACGCUGAUGCGUUGUUGGGUAGGGGAGCGUUCUGUAAGCCUGCGAAGGUGUGCUGUGAGGCAUGCUGGAGGUAUCAGAAGUGCGAAUGCUGACAUAAGUAACGAUAAAGCGGGUGAAAAGCCCGCUCGCCGGAAGACCAAGGGUUCCUGUCCAACGUUAAUCGGGGCAGGGUGAGUCGACCCCUAAGGCGAGGCCGAAAGGCGUAGUCGAUGGGAAACAGGUUAAUAUUCCUGUACUUGGUGUUACUGCGAAGGGGGACGGAGAAGGCUAUGUUGGCCGGGCGACGGUUGUCCCGGUUUAAGCGUGUAGGCUGGUUUUCCAGGCAAAUCCGGAAAAUCAAGGCUGAGGCGUGAUGACGAGGCACUACGGUGCUGAAGCAACAAAUGCCCUGCUUCCAGGAAAAGCCUCUAAGCAUCAGGUAACAUCAAAUCGUACCCCAAACCGACACAGGUGGUCAGGUAGAGAAUACCAAGGCGCUUGAGAGAACUCGGGUGAAGGAACUAGGCAAAAUGGUGCCGUAACUUCGGGAGAAGGCACGCUGAUAUGUAGGUGAGGUCCCUCGCGGAUGGAGCUGAAAUCAGUCGAAGAUACCAGCUGGCUGCAACUGUUUAUUAAAAACACAGCACUGUGCAAACACGAAAGUGGACGUAUACGGUGUGACGCCUGCCCGGUGCCGGAAGGUUAAUUGAUGGGGUUAGCGCAAGCGAAGCUCUUGAUCGAAGCCCCGGUAAACGGCGGCCGUAACUAUAACGGUCCUAAGGUAGCGAAAUUCCUUGUCGGGUAAGUUCCGACCUGCACGAAUGGCGUAAUGAUGGCCAGGCUGUCUCCACCCGAGACUCAGUGAAAUUGAACUCGCUGUGAAGAUGCAGUGUACCCGCGGCAAGACGGAAAGACCCCGUGAACCUUUACUAUAGCUUGACACUGAACAUUGAGCCUUGAUGUGUAGGAUAGGUGGGAGGCUUAGAAGUGUGGACGCCAGUCUGCAUGGAGCCGACCUUGAAAUACCACCCUUUAAUGUUUGAUGUUCUAACGUUGACCCGUAAUCCGGGUUGCGGACAGUGUCUGGUGGGUAGUUUGACUGGGGCGGUCUCCUCCUAAAGAGUAACGGAGGAGCACGAAGGUUGGCUAAUCCUGGUCGGACAUCAGGAGGUUAGUGCAAUGGCAUAAGCCAGCUUGACUGCGAGCGUGACGGCGCGAGCAGGUGCGAAAGCAGGUCAUAGUGAUCCGGUGGUUCUGAAUGGAAGGGCCAUCGCUCAACGGAUAAAAGGUACUCCGGGGAUAACAGGCUGAUACCGCCCAAGAGUUCAUAUCGACGGCGGUGUUUGGCACCUCGAUGUCGGCUCAUCACAUCCUGGGGCUGAAGUAGGUCCCAAGGGUAUGGCUGUUCGCCAUUUAAAGUGGUACGCGAGCUGGGUUUAGAACGUCGUGAGACAGUUCGGUCCCUAUCUGCCGUGGGCGCUGGAGAACUGAGGGGGGCUGCUCCUAGUACGAGAGGACCGGAGUGGACGCAUCACUGGUGUUCGGGUUGUCAUGCCAAUGGCACUGCCCGGUAGCUAAAUGCGGAAGAGAUAAGUGCUGAAAGCAUCUAAGCACGAAACUUGCCCCGAGAUGAGUUCUCCCUGACUCCUUGAGAGUCCUGAAGGAACGUUGAAGACGACGACGUUGAUAGGCCGGGUGUGUAAGCGCAGCGAUGCGUUGAGCUAACCGGUACUAAUGAACCGUGAGGCUUAACCUU
RNAcentral lists this ribosomal RNA (2900 nucleotides) under Escherichia coli. Its description in RNAcentral is "23S ribosomal RNA". It matches the Rfam family "Bacterial large subunit ribosomal RNA". The record is from RNAcentral. Lineage: Bacteria; Pseudomonadati; Pseudomonadota; Gammaproteobacteria; Enterobacterales; Enterobacteriaceae.